AUUGAACGCUGGCGGCAGGCCUAACACAUGCAAGUCGAACGAGCGGCGGACGGGUGAGUAAUGUCUGGGAAACUGCCCGAUGGAGGGGGAUAACUACUGGAAACGGUAGCUAAUACCGCAUACCAUCUGAUGUUCCCAGAUGGGAUUAGCUUGUAGGUGGGGUAACGGCUCACCUAGGCGACGAUCCCUAGCUGGUCUUAGAGGAUGACCAGCCACACGGGAACUGAGACACGGUCCAGACUCCUACGGGAGGCAGCAGUGGGGAAUAUUGCACAAUGGGCGCAAGCCUGAUGCAGCCAUGCCGCGUGUGUGAAGAAGGCCUUCGGGUUGUAAAGCACUUUAAGCGAGGAGGCGUUACUCGCAGAAGAAGCACCGGCUAACUCCGUGCCAGCAGCCGCGGUAAUUC
RNAcentral lists this ribosomal RNA (406 nucleotides) under uncultured bacterium. Its description in RNAcentral is "partial 16S ribosomal RNA". It matches the Rfam family "Bacterial small subunit ribosomal RNA", at positions 30 to 526 of the family's 1533-position model. The record is from RNAcentral.